RNAcentral lists this signal recognition particle RNA (224 nucleotides) under human gut metagenome. Its description in RNAcentral is "Bacterial large signal recognition particle RNA". It matches the Rfam family "Bacterial large signal recognition particle RNA", at positions 3 to 223 of the family's 256-position model. From Rfam's summary of the family: The signal recognition particle (SRP) is a universally conserved ribonucleoprotein involved in the co-translational targeting of proteins to membranes. Archaeal SRP consists of a 7S RNA and homologues of the eukaryotic SRP19 and SRP54 proteins. The record is from RNAcentral. RNAcentral also lists the same sequence under 1 other name.
UGUGCUAAGCGGGGAGCUAGCGGUGCCCUGUACCCGCAAUCCGCUACAGCGGGGCUGAAUGUCUUUCGCGGCUUGCAUUGUGCGAGGCUGCGGCGAGUAAGGAAUGUUGAUUUUAAGGUCUUAUGCAACGGACUGCCGUGAACCGUGUCAGGAUAGGGAUAUAGCAGCACUAAGCGGUGAGGUUCGUGUGCCAUAAGGUAGCUUUAAAGGAGUUACCUGCCCGU